GGGUGUAUAGCUCAACGGUUAGAGCGUCUGACUCUUAAUUAGAAUAUCCGGGUUCGAUUCCCUGUACACCUA
Triplophysa rosa is the source of this 72-nucleotide non-coding RNA. The record is from the annotation of a RefSeq genome assembly. Lineage: Eukaryota; Metazoa; Chordata; Actinopteri; Cypriniformes; Nemacheilidae.